AGGCACGAAAGCGUGGGUAGCAAACAGGAUUAGAUACCCUGGUAGUCCACGCUGUAAACGAUGAUUACUAGGUGUGGGUGGACUGACCCCAUCCGUGCCGGAGUUAACACAAUAAGUAAUCCACCUGGGGAGUACGGCCGCAAGGCUGAAACUCAAAGGAAUUGACGGGGGCCCGCACAAGCAGUGGAGUAUGUGGAUUAAUUCGAUGCAACGCGAAGAACCUUACCAGGUCUUGACAUCCCGCUAACGAAGUAGAGAUACAUUAGGUGCCUUUCGGGGAAAGCGGAGACAGGUGGUGCAUGGUUGUCGUCAGCUCGUGUCGUGAGAUGUUGGGUUAAGUCCCGCAACGAGCGCAACCCUUACUGUUAGUUGCUACGCAAGAGUACUCUAGCAGGACCGCCGUUGACAAAACGGAGGAAGGUGGGGAUGAUGUCAAAUCAUCAUGCCCCUUAUGACCUGGGCCUCACACGUACUACAAUGGCCAUUAACAGAGGGAGGCAAAGCCGCGAGGCAGAGCAAAACCCUAAAAAUGGUCUCAGUUCGGAUCGUAGGCUGCAACCCGCCUGCGUGAAGUUGGAAUUGCUAGUAAUCGCGGAUCAGCAUGCCGCGGUGAAUACGUU
Molecule: ribosomal RNA, 620 nt
Filed under: uncultured bacterium
Lineage: Bacteria
Description: bacterial SSU rRNA
Rfam family: Bacterial small subunit ribosomal RNA
Source: RNAcentral